GACCUACCUCUUGAAUAUGGAGUACAUGACACUUUUAAUGUAAUUGAUCUUUCUCCAUUUGUAGGUACCAAUGACGAUGACGAGCUGGAUUUGAGGACAAAUCCUUUCCAAGGGGGAGGGGAUGAUGGAGGAGGGCCAAGCACACCUACCCAAGCAAGCCAAGGAGAGCGUCUAGACCAAGACCAAGACCAAGGUGAGCGUCUAGGACGUGAAGGUGAGCGUCUAGGACGUGAAGGUGAGCGUCUAGGACGUGAAGGAGGGAGGCUACCCUUGGAGCUAGACCGUCUAGGUCCCCUUACAAGAUCAAUGGCCAAACAUAUUCAAACACAAGCAAAUGAGGCCACGGAUGGAAGAGAGAAGGCUUUGUAUAUGUUUGCAUAAAGGCCCAUUGGGGGUACUUAGUAGAUAGGAUAGUGUAGGAAGCAUUUUGGAUGGAAACCUUCUAGAAACUAGGGUUGUGUAUGGCCGGUCAUUGCACCCUAGAAUUUAGAUUUAAUUUUGGUUUUCUUUUCCUUGUAAUGUAGCUUAUCAUUUACGUCCCAAACUAGCCUAUAAAUAGGAAGGCUAACUCAUUGUAUUUGACAAGUUUAAUUGAGUAUUGUUAUGCUG
This 609-nucleotide long non-coding RNA is filed under the name Phaseolus vulgaris (common bean). RNAcentral describes it as "long non-coding RNA (PVUL_LNC002521)". The record is from RNAcentral. Lineage: Eukaryota; Viridiplantae; Streptophyta; Magnoliopsida; Fabales; Fabaceae.